Molecule: ribosomal RNA, 622 nt
Filed under: uncultured bacterium
Lineage: Bacteria
Description: bacterial SSU rRNA
Rfam family: Bacterial small subunit ribosomal RNA
Source: RNAcentral
AGAGUUUGAUCCUGGCUCAGAUUGAACGCUGGCGGCAUGCCUUACACAUGCAAGUCGAACGGCAGCACGGAGCUUGCUCUGGUGGCGAGUGGCGAACGGGUGAGUAAUAUAUCGGAACGUACCCUAGAGUGGGGGAUAACGUAGCGAAAGUUACGCUAAUACCGCAUACGAUCUAAGGAUGAAAGUGGGGGAUCGCAAGACCUCAUGCUCGUGGAGCGGCCGAUAUCUGAUUAGCUAGUUGGUAGGGUAAAAGCCUACCAAGGCAUCGAUCAGUAGCUGGUCUGAGAGGACGACCAGCCACACUGGAACUGAGACACGGUCCAGACUCCUACGGGAGGCAGCAGUGGGGAAUUUUGGACAAUGGGCGAAAGCCUGAUCCAGCAAUGCCGCGUGAGUGAAGAAGGCCUUCGGGUUGUAAAGCUCUUUUGUCAGGGAAGAAACGGUGAGAGCUAAUAUCUCUUGCUAAUGACGGUACCUGAAGAAUAAGCACCGGCUAACUACGUGCCAGCAGCCGCGGUAAUACGUAGGGUGCAAGCGUUAAUCGGAAUUACUGGGCGUAAAGCGUGCGCAGGCGGGUUUUGUAAGUUCUGAUGUUGAAAUCCCCGGGCUUCAAUCUGCGUAA